GCUAGCGUAGCUUAAAUAAAGCAU
Molecule: transfer RNA, 24 nt
Filed under: Prochilodus lineatus (curimbata)
Lineage: Eukaryota; Metazoa; Chordata; Actinopteri; Characiformes; Prochilodontidae
Description: partial tRNA-Phe
Source: RNAcentral